GGGGGGAGCAAGCGUUGUUCGGAUUUACUGGGCGUAAAGGGCGCGUAGGCGGCCACCGCAAGUCGAUUGUGAAAUCUCCGGGCUUAACCCGGAAAGGUCAACCGAUACUGCGGGGCUAGAGUGCAGAAGGGGCAACUGGAAUUCUUGGUGUAGCGGUGAAAUGCGUAGAUAUCAAGAGGAACACCUGCGGCGAAGGCGGGUUGCUGGGCUGACACUGACGCUGAAGUGCGAAAGCUAGGGGAGCGAACGGGAUUAGAUACCCCGGUAGUCCUAGCCUUAAACGAUGAAUGCUUGGUGUCUGGGGUUUUAUAGUCCCCGGGUGCCGUCGCUAACGCUUUAAGCAUUCCGCCUGGGGAGUACGGUCGCAAGACUG
RNAcentral lists this ribosomal RNA (373 nucleotides) under uncultured bacterium. Its description in RNAcentral is "bacterial SSU rRNA". It matches the Rfam family "Bacterial small subunit ribosomal RNA", at positions 527 to 896 of the family's 1533-position model. The record is from RNAcentral.